Molecule: ribosomal RNA, 507 nt
Filed under: uncultured bacterium
Lineage: Bacteria
Description: bacterial SSU rRNA
Rfam family: Bacterial small subunit ribosomal RNA
Source: RNAcentral
AGAGUUUGAUCCUGGCUCAGGAUAAACGCCGGCGGCGUGCCUAAUACAUGCAAGUCGAACGGGAGCAGCAAUGCUCCAGUGGCGUACGGGUGAGUAACACGUUGGUAACCUGCCCCGGAGACCGGAAUACCAGGAGGAAACCCCUGCUAAUGCCGGAUGAUGCCGGAAGGGCGCAAGCCUUUCCGGCCAAAGGCGGCCUCUAAAGCCGCGCCCCGGGAUGGACCUGCGUCGCAUUAGCUAGUUGGCGGGAUAGAGGCCCACCAAGGCUGGGAUGCGUAGCCGAGCUGAGAGGCUGAUCGGCCACAUUGGGACUGAGACACGGCCCAGACUCCUACGGGAGGCAGCAGUGGGGAAUAUUGCGCAAUGGGGGAAACCCUGACGCAGCAACGCCGCGUGAUUGAAGAAGGCCUUCGGGUUGUAAAGAUCUUUAAUCAGGGACGAAACAAAUGACGGUACCUGAAGAAUAAGCUCCGGCUAACUACGUGCCAGCAGCCGCGGUAAUACGUA